This 303-nucleotide unclassified non-coding RNA is filed under the name Hevea brasiliensis (rubber tree). The record is from RNAcentral. Lineage: Eukaryota; Viridiplantae; Streptophyta; Magnoliopsida; Malpighiales; Euphorbiaceae.
GAAAAGGGAAAAAAUCAAUAGAAAAAAUUAUGUUGAAAUCCGAUUUAUCAUGAAUUAUAGUAUCCAUUAAAUAAAAAACAUGUAAAUAAGAAGUAAACUACAUCACAAUUUAUGUGGGAUACAUGUCCAUUAAAUAAAAUACAUGUAAAUAAGAAGUAAAUUGCAUUACAAUUUCUGUGGGAUACAUUCUUUUGAAUUAUAUAUUAUUGUCAAAAUUCGUUUGUAAGAAGAUAUGAAUAAAACUUCAUAUGCUAUAUUAUAAUUUACCAUUAACUUUUUAAAUUCAAUUUUACCCCUUUGAAU